AUGAACGCUGUCUACAGGCUUAACACAUGCCAGUCGAGGGGAAACGACGGGGAAGCUUGCUUCCCCGGGCGUCGACCGGCGCACGGGUGAGUAACGCGUAUCCAACCUGCCUCUGACUGAGGGAUAACCCGUCGAAAGUCGGCCUAAUACCUCAUGGCAUCGUCUGCGGGCAUCCAACGACGAUUAAAGAUUUCAUCGGUCAGGGAUGGGGAUGCGUCUGAUUAGCUUGUUGGCGGGGUAACGGCCCACCAAGGCUACGAUCAGUAGGGGUUCUGAGAGGAAGGUCCCCCACAUUGGAACUGAGGCACGGUCCAAACUCCUACGGGAGGCAGCAGUGAGGAAUAUUGGUCAAUGAGCGGGAGCCUGAACCAGCCAAGUAGCGUGCAGGAUGACGGCCCUAUGGGUUGUAAACUGCUUUUAUGCGGGGAUAAAGUGAGGGACGUGUCCUUCAUUGCAGGUACCGCAUGAAUAAGGACCGGCUAAUUCCGUG
This 490-nucleotide ribosomal RNA is filed under the name uncultured bacterium. RNAcentral's name for it is "partial 16S ribosomal RNA". It matches the Rfam family "Bacterial small subunit ribosomal RNA", at positions 29 to 507 of the family's 1533-position model. The record is from RNAcentral.